UCCCUGGUGGUCCUGUGUUUAGGACUUGGUAUUUUCACUCCCAUGGUUGGGGUUCAAUCCCUAGUCAGGGAA
This 72-nucleotide transfer RNA is filed under the name Ovis aries (sheep). It matches the Rfam family "tRNA". Rfam says of the family: Transfer RNA (tRNA) molecules are approximately 80 nucleotides in length. Their secondary structure includes four short double-helical elements and three loops (D, anti-codon, and T loops). The record is from Rfam by way of RNAcentral. Lineage: Eukaryota; Metazoa; Chordata; Mammalia; Artiodactyla; Bovidae.